RNAcentral lists this ribosomal RNA (542 nucleotides) under Alternaria destruens. RNAcentral describes it as "eukaryotic LSU rRNA". The stretch from base 182 to 335 matches the Rfam family "5.8S ribosomal RNA". The record is from RNAcentral. Lineage: Eukaryota; Fungi; Ascomycota; Dothideomycetes; Pleosporales; Pleosporaceae.
UGCGGAGGGAUCAUUACACAAAUAUGAAGGCGGGCUGGAAUCUCUCGGGGUUACAGCCUUGCUGAAUUAUUCACCCUUGUCUUUUGCGUACUUCUUGUUUCCUUGGUGGGUUCGCCCACCACUAGGACAAACAUAAACCUUUUGUAAUUGCAAUCAGCGUCAGUAACAAAUUAAUAAUUACAACUUUCAACAACGGAUCUCUUGGUUCUGGCAUCGAUGAAGAACGCAGCGAAAUGCGAUAAGUAGUGUGAAUUGCAGAAUUCAGUGAAUCAUCGAAUCUUUGAACGCACAUUGCGCCCUUUGGUAUUCCAAAGGGCAUGCCUGUUCGAGCGUCAUUUGUACCCUCAAGCUUUGCUUGGUGUUGGGCGUCUUGUCUCUAGCUUUGCUGGAGACUCGCCUUAAAGUAAUUGGCAGCCGGCCUACUGGUUUCGGAGCGCAGCACAAGUCGCACUCUCUAUCAGCAAAGGUCUAGCAUGCCAAUAGAGUCCGGUUGGUCAACAUUAGAUCAGCGGAGCAGUUCGUGUAGUGAGAACUGCUGAGGA